GGUUGUGUGGUGUAAUGGUAAGCACUGGAGACUCUGAAUCUCCCGAUCUGGGUUCGAUUCCCAGCACGACCU
This 72-nucleotide transfer RNA is filed under the name Gregarina niphandrodes. It matches the Rfam family "tRNA". Rfam says of the family: Transfer RNA (tRNA) molecules are approximately 80 nucleotides in length. Their secondary structure includes four short double-helical elements and three loops (D, anti-codon, and T loops). Further hydrogen bonds mediate the characteristic L-shaped molecular structure. tRNAs have two regions of fundamental functional importance: the anti-codon, which is responsible for specific mRNA codon recognition, and the 3' end, to which the tRNAs corresponding amino acid is attached (by aminoacyl-tRNA synthetases). tRNAs cope with the degeneracy of the genetic code in two manners: having more than one tRNA (with a specific anti-codon) for a particular amino acid; and 'wobble' base-pairing, i.e. permitting non-standard base-pairing at the 3rd anti-codon position. Lineage: Eukaryota; Apicomplexa; Conoidasida; Eugregarinorida; Gregarinidae. The record is from Rfam by way of RNAcentral.